CUCUUUGGAAAAAAGGAAAACACGCGCUGGAAAAGACGUUCCCAGCUGGAGCCAUAAGACUGCUGGAAUGUGGCAGGGGUCCUCAAACUAAGCCUAAGGCGAGUGGAGCAGCUUCUCUGAAGACAGAAACAGCCUCCCCGAGCUGAAGCUACUACUUCAGGGCUACUAAGUCUGCCCAUUGUGAGUCAGUCACCAGCAGAGACCCGACUCGGCAGCAUCAGUAUUCGGGAGGCGCAAGCAGCCAGUCUGGCGCAGGCUCUUCAAGGCCGCUGUCCUCAAAUGACCCCAGGGCCCUGGCUGCCCUUUCAGGUCGAGAGCGCUCACACAGCCUAGGGAGACUGCGAGGGAUUGAAAUGGCAAACCCCGGGUUCCCUGAACCUUCCUCCGGGGGCACGUCACCAUCCACCCCCUCUCCUCCACGUCUCCCUCCCACACCUUCCUCUAGGCGCGGUAGAAAGCGCUUGGCCCCAAUAGUUUAGGGGACCGCAGGCAAAACGCACGAAAAUUGCGCCUCAGAGGCAAAGUGGAUCAAGGCCAGAUAUGAAGAGGAAAUGGAUCUCAUUUUUGGAUAAGAUAUACAAAAGAGCCAUUGCACAGAGCCAAGGAAACAAAUCAAGGAAUGGUUGAUGCACUUCUAAGCCAAUACAAAGGACUUGAACCCAGUGUGAAUACUCAAGGUUGCGACGCUUAACAUACAUGAAGAUGUAGGCUUUCCUUGUAUCCACACUCUUUGUGAAAAUACUUACAGAUGAGUAUCCCUAACUUGGCUUCUAUAAUCUAGUCCCUUUUCUGCCUUUCAUAGUGUGGCAAACUUUCUGUAGUCCUGGCUACUGACUAGGUAAAUGCUUACUUGCUUAUAUCAUUUUAACUGGGCACUGAUUCAAGGACCUGUUACAGAUUUAUUUUUCCUUUACUUAGAAUUUUUACACAUAAAACUUUGAUAAUCUAUAUUUCAUCCAGAAAUUAUCUCUUUUAUUUGGAUUUUUCUGAUGUCUUUUUAAUUUCUGUUGCCAAUUGAUUCAUAUACCUCAUAACUCAGCCAUGCAUCCCUAAGUGAUCCCUGUUUUUUUUUCUCAAUCACCCUCUUCAUGGUGGGGGGGGGGAUGUAAAAAUAUUUUAAAUUGCAAAGUUUAAAUUCCUUUUGAGAAGAAUUUUAGAUUAAGAAAUAUGCUUCCUGUCUGAAUCCAGAAACUGAACUGUUUGGAGAAGACACCAUGAAGAUGCCUCCAGACCACAAGUUGCAUGAGAAGAUCAAGAAUGAACUUUGGGUGUGGUUGAUUGAACAUUUAUUUGUAUGUAUACUUUCGUGCCAAAGGGGACUUCCCCCUUUUUGUCAAUGCAUCUAGCAAUUAUUGGUUUUGUUCUUUUUCCCUCUUAUCCUCAAAUUAUUGUAAUCUUUAAGUUGAUUAUGUUUUCAUGAUCCUUUGGCGAAACUUUUCCCAAUAGGGUCAAACGGGGUGUGUAAAAAUGGAGAUUUGAACCCCAAACUUCAAUCACCACAAAUCCUUGGCACUUCCCAGAAUGCCCUAAAAUCUCACUGGAGAUACCCACCUGGGCCAAGAACAAAAUGGGUAUUUAAACUGACUGUACUACCUACUUGCUCUCUCUGAUUCUGCUUCCAAGCACCUGCAGCGAGAUGUAAGUGGUUGUGAAUGGGCUCUGGGCCUAAGCACAUGCUUUUCUUAUUUUGUAUUUUCUUUAUUUCUUAAUUCUAAAAAUCUUUAAUAAACCUCAUAAAA
Long non-coding RNA from Monodelphis domestica (gray short-tailed opossum), 1739 nucleotides. RefSeq lists it as uncharacterized. Lineage: Eukaryota; Metazoa; Chordata; Mammalia; Didelphimorphia; Didelphidae. The record is from RefSeq and is a predicted model, not a curated record.